Molecule: ribosomal RNA, 253 nt
Filed under: uncultured bacterium
Lineage: Bacteria
Description: partial 16S ribosomal RNA
Rfam family: Bacterial small subunit ribosomal RNA
Source: RNAcentral
GACGAACCGUGCGAACGUUAGGCGGAAUCACUGGGCUUAAAGCGUGUGUAGGCGGAUCGUUAAGUGUCUUGUGAAAUCCCACGGCUCACCCGUGGAACUGCUGGGCAUACUGGCGAUCUUGGGCCAACUAGGGGCAACUGGAACAAGCGGUGGAGCGGUGAAAUGCGUAGAUAUCGCUUGGAACGCCAAAGGUGAAAACAGGUUGCUGGGGUUGUGCCGACGCUGAGACACGAAAGCCAGGGAAGCAAACGGG